This 97-nucleotide signal recognition particle RNA is filed under the name Rhodanobacter sp. FW510-R10. RNAcentral describes it as "signal recognition particle sRNA small type". It matches the Rfam family "Bacterial small signal recognition particle RNA". Rfam says of the family: The signal recognition particle (SRP) is a universally conserved ribonucleoprotein involved in the co-translational targeting of proteins to membranes. Lineage: Bacteria; Pseudomonadati; Pseudomonadota; Gammaproteobacteria; Lysobacterales; Rhodanobacteraceae. RNAcentral also lists the same sequence under 2 other names. The record is from RNAcentral.
CGUCGGUCCCCCCGCGACGAUAGUUCGUGAACUCCGCCAGGUCCGGAAGGAAGCAACGGCAGCGAAUGAUUCGGGUGCCGGGGUGUGGCUGGCGGGG